GGGGUGCCUAAUACAUGCAGUCGAACGCGUUGGCCCAAUUGAUUGAUGGUGCUUGCACCUGAUUGAUUUUGGUCGCCAACGAGUGGCGGACGGGUGAGUAACACGUAGGUAACCUGCCCAGAAGCGGGGGACAACAUUUGGAAACAGAUGCUAAUACCGCAUAACAGCGUUGUUCGCAUGAACAACGCUUAAAAGAUGGCUUCUCGCUAUCACUUCUGGAUGGACCUGCGGUGCAUUAGCUUGUUGGUGGGGUAACGGCCUACCAAGGCGAUGAUGCAUAGCCGAGUUGAGAGACUGAUCGGCCACAAUGGGACUGAGACACGGCCCAUACUCCUACGGGAGGCAGCAGUAGGGAAUCUUCCACAAUGGGCGCAAGCCUGAUGGAGCAACACCGCGUGAGUGAAGAAGGGUUUCGGCUCGUAAAGCUCUGUUGUUAAAGAAGAACACGUAUGAGAGUAACUGUUCAUACGUUGACGGUAUUUAACCAGAAAGUCACGGCUAACUACGUGCCAGCAGCCGCGGUAAUACGUAGGUGGCAAGCGUUAUCCGGAUUUAUUGGGCGUAAAGAGAGUGCAGGCGGUUUUCUAAGUCUGAUGUGAAAGCCUUCGGCUUAACCGGAGAAGUGCAUCGGAAACUGGAUAACUUGAGUGCAGAAGAGGGUAGUGGAACUCCAUGUGUAGCGGUGGAAUGCGUAGAUAUAUGGAAGAACACCAGUGGCGAAGGCGGCUACCUGGUCUGCAACUGACGCUGAGACUCGAAAGCAUGGGUAGCGAACAGGAUUAGAUACCCUGGUAGUCCAUGCCGUAAACGAUGAGUGCUAGGUGUUGGAGGGUUUCCGCCCUUCAGUGCCGGAGCUAACGCAUUAAGCACUCCGCCUGGGGAGUACGACCGCAAGGUUGAAACUCAAAGGAAUUGACGGGGGCCCGCACAAGCGGUGGAGCAUGUGGUUUAAUUCGAAGCUACGCGAAGAACCUUACCAGGUCUUGACAUCUUGCGCCAACCCUAGAGAUAGGGCGUUUCCUUCGGGAACGCAAUGACAGGUGGUGCAUGGUCGUCGUCAGCUCGUGUCGUGAGAUGUUGGGUUAAGUCCCGCAACGAGCGCAACCCUUGUUACUAGUUGCCAGCAUUAAGUUGGGCACUCUAGUGAGACUGCCGGUGACAAACCGGAGGAAGGUGGGGACGACGUCAGAUCAUCAUGCCCCUUAUGACCUGGGCUACACACGUGCUACAAUGGACGGUACAACGAGUCGCGAACUCGCGAGGGCAAGCAAAUCUCUUAAAACCGUUCUCAGUUCGGACUGCAGGCUGCAACUCGCCUGCACGAAGUCGGAAUCGCUAGUAAUCGCGGAUCAGCAUGCCGCGGUGAAUACGUUCCCGGGCCUUGUACACACCGCCCGUCACACCAUGAGAGUUUGUAACACCCAAAGUCGGUGGGGUAA
This 1439-nucleotide ribosomal RNA is filed under the name Limosilactobacillus fermentum. Its description in RNAcentral is "bacterial SSU rRNA". It matches the Rfam family "Bacterial small subunit ribosomal RNA". Lineage: Bacteria; Bacillati; Bacillota; Bacilli; Lactobacillales; Lactobacillaceae. The record is from RNAcentral.